GGAGAUGUUUAUAAGAAGACUGUGGAUGGAGGCUUGUCUAUUCCUCACAGUACCAAACGAUUCCCUGAUUAUGAUUCAGAGAGCAAGGAAUUCAGUGCAGAAGGACAUGAGAAGCACAUCUUGGGUCAGAACAUGGCAGACUA
Long non-coding RNA from Prionailurus viverrinus (fishing cat), 143 nucleotides. RefSeq lists it as uncharacterized. The record is from RefSeq and is a predicted model, not a curated record. The transcript has 3 exons. Lineage: Eukaryota; Metazoa; Chordata; Mammalia; Carnivora; Felidae.